This 301-nucleotide ribosomal RNA is filed under the name uncultured bacterium. RNAcentral describes it as "partial 16S ribosomal RNA". It matches the Rfam family "Bacterial small subunit ribosomal RNA", at positions 509 to 807 of the family's 1533-position model. The record is from RNAcentral.
CAAUCGCCGCGGUAAUACAGAGGGUGCAAGCGUUAAUCGGAAUUACUGGGCGUAAAGCGCGCGUAGGUGGUUUGUUAAGUUGGAUGUGAAAUCCCCGGGCUCAACCUGGGAACUGCAUCCAAAACUGGCAAGCUAGAGUAUGGUAGAGGGUGGUGGAAUUUCCUGUGUAGCGGUGAAAUGCGUAGAUAUAGGAAGGAACACCAGUGGCGAAGGCGACCACCUGGACUGAUACUGACACUGAGGUGCGAAAGCGUGGGGAGCAAACAGGAUUAGAUACCCCGGUAGUCCCUGUCUCUUAUAC